RNAcentral lists this transfer RNA (76 nucleotides) under Streptomonospora alba. RNAcentral describes it as "tRNA-Lys". It matches the Rfam family "tRNA". From Rfam's summary of the family: Transfer RNA (tRNA) molecules are approximately 80 nucleotides in length. Lineage: Bacteria; Bacillati; Actinomycetota; Actinomycetes; Streptosporangiales; Nocardiopsidaceae. The record is from RNAcentral.
GGGCCAUUAGCUCAACAGGCAGAGCAGCGGACUUUUAAUCCGCGGGUUCAGGGUUCGAUCCCCUGGUGGCCCACCU